GACGAACGCUGGCGGCGUGCUUAACACAUGCAAGUCGAACGGUGAACGAGGGAGCUUGCUCCCUCCGGAUCAGUGGCGAACGGGUGAGUAACACGUGAGCAAUCUGCCCCGAACUCUGGGAUAAGCGUUGGAAACGACGUCUAAUACCGGAUACGACGCGGGAGGGCAUCCUCUCCGCGUGGAAAGAACUUCGGUUCGGGAUGAGCUCGCGGCCUAUCAGCUUGUUGGUGAGGUAACGGCUCACCAAGGCGACGACGGGUAGCCGGCCUGAGAGGGUGACCGGCCACACUGGGACUGAGACACGGCCCAGACUCCCACGGGAGGCAGCAGUGGGGAAUAUUGCACAAUGGGCGCAAGCCUGAUGCAGCAACGCCGCGUGAGGGACGACGGCCUUCGGGUUGUAAACCUCUUUUAGCAGGGAAGAAGCGAAAGUGACGGUACCUGCAGAAAAAGCACCGGCUAACUACGUG
RNAcentral lists this ribosomal RNA (470 nucleotides) under uncultured bacterium. RNAcentral describes it as "partial 16S ribosomal RNA". It matches the Rfam family "Bacterial small subunit ribosomal RNA", at positions 28 to 507 of the family's 1533-position model. The record is from RNAcentral.